This 155-nucleotide small RNA is filed under the name Streptomyces niveus. RNAcentral describes it as "c-di-AMP sequence". It matches the Rfam family "c-di-AMP riboswitch aptamer (ydaO/yuaA leader)". From Rfam's summary of the family: This family represents a conserved RNA structure found upstream of the ydaO and yuaA genes in Bacillus subtilis and related genes in other bacteria. The ydaO/yuaA element is thought to act as a genetic "off" switch for the ydaO and yuaA genes in its native state. It is believed that the element may be triggered during osmotic shock leading to activation of ydaO, a predicted amino acid transporter gene, and members of the yuaA-yubG operon which code for KtrA and KtrB K+ transporters. The record is from RNAcentral. Lineage: Bacteria; Bacillati; Actinomycetota; Actinomycetes; Kitasatosporales; Streptomycetaceae.
CGUGCGCACGCGCCGAAUUCCGCAAGGAAACCGGGGAACCACCAAUUGGGGUGAAUCGGGCGCCUGUUGCUGCCUCGUGCGGCGAGAAGCGCUCGUAGGAGACCUUCCUGCUCCGAACCCGUCAGCUAACCCGGUAGGCGAGAAGGAAGGAAAGG